CGUCCCCAUCACAGGUUCCGUCACUAUGUGGGUUUUACCUUCCGGAAUUGAUAUGGAUGAUGAAAAACCACUCAAUUUGGCCCUGUAGUCUUCAUCCAGCAGGAUAUUUACGGAUUUGAUAUCUCUAUGAACAAUAGGCCUUGGGAAUGCAGUGUGAAGAUAAGCAAUCACAUUAGCCACAUCAACUGCAAUCUUCAACCUAUUCUUCCAUGAUAAAGGUCGCAAAUCGGCUCCUUGUUUAUAUUUUAAAAUGUAAUGAUCAAGAAUUCCCAUCUCCGCAUGUUCAA
This 287-nucleotide unclassified non-coding RNA is filed under the name Hevea brasiliensis (rubber tree). The record is from RNAcentral. Lineage: Eukaryota; Viridiplantae; Streptophyta; Magnoliopsida; Malpighiales; Euphorbiaceae.